Molecule: long non-coding RNA, 1011 nt
Filed under: Equus caballus (horse)
Lineage: Eukaryota; Metazoa; Chordata; Mammalia; Perissodactyla; Equidae
Description: lncRNA (ENSECAG00000027961.3)
Source: RNAcentral
CUUGUUUAACCUCGGGAAGGCAGAGUCUCCUGACUGUGGCCACCAUUUCUGGUACAGUAGUGUCCCCUGUCUAUGUACUGACAGCCCAUGGCAUACUAUACUGAAAUGACCUCUUUGGCCGUCUGGUCCACAUGCUCACUUGUGGGUCCUAUGGUGCUGUCUUAGUCUAACUUCCCUUGACCGCUUCUACUUCAAGAUAAACACACUUUCUCAAUUAUCUGCUUCAAUACCCAGUAUCCCGGAAGGAAGGAAUAUCAACCAUUCAGCAACAGAUUCCAAGAUUAAGUGCAUGAGCAAGAGUUUGAUCAAGUCUCCAUGGUGACGUGCUACAAAGAAGACACUGUUGGAUAAGAUCAAAUGGGAAUAGAAUUGCAAAGCAGGCACAGUUCCAGAAGCUUCCUUGUCUUUUGGAUGAUAAGAGAGAGAUGAUUUGAAAAAUCAAAUAGCCAAGUCUUUGAAGUUUUAGGAUUUCAGUUGGCUCACGCGCCAUGCUUUCUCGUGGCUAUGAGGAGUUCAAGCUGUUUGAGGUAGGAAGGGAGAGAAGAUUGAAGAAGGAAGCGUUUGGGAAAGAGGAGGUCCAAGCAGAUGCUGAGAGGGCGAAAAUCCUUAACAGUAUGUUACAGAUGAAGAAACAGAUUUUCAGAGAGGCAAGCAACUGAUCAAGCUCGUGUAGUCAAGCAACAAAGCUAGAGUCCUACCCAGCUGCUUAGGGAUGACACCUGUUGGUGGCAGGAACCAAAAGACACUUUGAGAAAUGCAGCUUUACCCAGCUGACUGAGAUCAGGGAAGAAUCCGAGAUCUUCCGCUCCCUUACCGGUUGCCCCUCGCUGAAGACAGCUCUCUAAAUUCACUUGCCGCCGGCCAUUACAUAUCCAAACUACUGAAAGAUUACUUUUGCUUUCUUUUCCAUCCCUUUAUUAUCUGCUCAUUUCAAAUAUCGAUUAAGCACCCCUGUGUGCCAGGCACUGUUCAAAUUUCUGAGUACAUAGCAAUAAACAAAACAGCCAAUAA